UUCGACGAUACGCGAAGAACCUUACCUGGCCUUGACAUAGUAGAAUCUAAUAGAGAUAUAAGAGUGCUAGUUUACUAGAGCUUACAUACAGGUGCUGCACGGCUGUCGUCAGCUCGUGUCGUGAGAUGUUGGGUUAAGUCCCGCAACGAGCGCAACCCUCGUGUUUAGUUACUAACAGUUCGGCUGAGGACUCUAAACAGACUGCCUGGGUAACCAGGAGGAAGGUGAGGACGACGUCAAGUCAUCAUGGCCCUUACGGCCAGGGCUACACACGUGCUACAAUGGGGUAUACAAAGAGCCGCGAUACCGUGAGGUGGGGCAAAUCUCAUAAAAUAUCUCCCAGUUCGGAUUGAAGUCUGCAACUCGACUUCAUGAAGUUGGAAUCGCUAGUAAUCGUAGAUCAGCAAUGCUACGGUGAAUACGUUCCCGGGUCUUGUACUCACCGCCCGUCACACCAUGGGAGUUGAUUUCAUUCGAAGCGGGGAUGCUAAAAUAGCUACCUUCCA
Molecule: ribosomal RNA, 506 nt
Filed under: uncultured bacterium
Lineage: Bacteria
Description: bacterial SSU rRNA
Rfam family: Bacterial small subunit ribosomal RNA
Source: RNAcentral